Meriones unguiculatus (Mongolian gerbil) is the source of this 2364-nucleotide long non-coding RNA. RefSeq lists it as uncharacterized. The record is from RefSeq and is a predicted model, not a curated record. Lineage: Eukaryota; Metazoa; Chordata; Mammalia; Rodentia; Muridae. The transcript has 4 exons.
AGACAAGAGUGUAACAUGGCCUUCACUUCUGGGUGCUCUGGAGUGCCUUGACCCUGACCUUGAAGAAGGCUCCUUUUUUUAACCCCGGGCAUUAACGGCUGAGGCUGAGGCCAGACUCCGGAUCUCAACAGGCCUGAUGCUGGCUGUUCAGACAAGGGGCCCCAGGAGUAAGUGCCACUAAGGGAUGUCUCUUGUAAAGGAUUCUCCAAAGGAUCGGUGAAGGGCCCCACCUCCUUCCCCACAAUUUGUUCUGAGUGAGGUGGAGUCCAGGGGGCCCAGAGGCCCUCUCAGCCAGGCUGCUUUACCUAAGUCCCCUGGAAACUCUUCUCCCGGAGUCCCACAGGGUGAGGUUCUAGUCUCCAAGAUACUGACGCUGGGAGAGGAACUAGGCCUGGGAGAAAGAACCCCAGUUUACUAUGACGGCAAGUGCUCUACCAUUGAGCCAUGCCCCAACCCUUCACAAAGGGAUUUUGGACAAGAACUCUACUGCCCCAGCCCCACACUGAGAGAUUCUAGUACAGAAUUUCUCUGUCCUGGAAAUCCCUCUGAAGACCAGGCUAGACUUGAACUCAGAGAUUACCUGCCUCUGCCUCCCAGGUACUGGGGUUAAAGGCCUGUUCCACCAUGCCGGGCUCAUACAGACUUUUUAAUUCCUGCCUUUUAAAAAAAAUGGUAAGUAUGGCAUUUGUACCUAUGUAUAUUUGUGUGUAAGCACACUCACCGAUGUAUAUGGGUUUGGAGGCCAGAGGUCAACAUCACACAUCUUCCUCUGUUAUUUUCCGCCUUAUUAUUGAGAUGGGGCCUCUCACCAAACCCGGAGCUCACCAACUGGCUAGGAAGGUGUGGUUCUCCUCCUGCCUGGGGGCUGUCUCCCCGUAGCCCAUGAAGUCAGGAGGGGCAGGAGAUGAAAAGUGUGCCUGGAAUGGCAGUGAGCAUUCCAGGGAUCACACACUGGCACGGAGCUACUUCAACUUUAAUUCCAGAGAACAAAGGAUAUAUACCCCUGUGGAGUGGGUAGGGGGCUCCAAGGAUAGGUGGACACAACUGGUGGAACUAUACAGUUCAGGGACGCUUGGUUUGCAUUAAACAUGGUCCUUUCAUAUGAACGGGAACACGGUACCUAACUAUGCUGUAGGCACAGGGAGGGCACAGCUAGCAGGGAGCCGUGUCAAAGGCCAGAUACCAAAUGUGGUCAGGGGCGUCUGUGUCUAAAGACACUCUCCAGAUGAAGUCAGGCCGAGAGCAGGAGGCCCUGCUGGGGGGCAGGAGUCCUGCCAAGCUCGGAAUGGCUGUCCGGACUCGAAGAACUGCAACCGCAGACAGCAGGACUGGUUAGCUAGCAAGUCCAGAUCCACCAUCUUUGCCUUCUACCUCCAACUCUGGGGUUACAGGUACACAUCACUAUCGCUGGCUUGUACAUGAGUGUCAAUGCAUUCACACUCAGGUCCUCACACUUGCACAAAAGCACCUUCCCAACUGAGUGAUCUCCCCGGCUCCUUACCCCUGUCUCCAGCUCACAAACCCUACUUCAGUCAAACGUGGGAGGGAGGGAGAAAUGAAGAGAGAGGGGGGGGGCGCUGACACCAAACCACAGUGGUUCCAUGACUGAUUUUCUGGGUUUCCUGGACAAUGGCUUCUCUCCUUGUAGAGUGGGCUAAGGCCCAGCCUCCAUAGUUGUACUGGGGUGAGCAGGAAGGGAUAGCAGUUCUGGUCAGACAGUGCUAGCCAAAGUGGGCAGGGCGGGGAGCCUUCCUUCCUGCCCGUGCCCACAGUCAGUACUUGGCACUCUCUCUGUUAACUCUCAUUCUCCCGGGAGACGCCUGUUUCACCAGGUUCCUUUCUGCAGCAGCUAUCUGAGCAGCAUUAGUGUGGAGACUCAGUUCCACCAGGGGACAUGCUGGCUGUCCUGGCCCACACUGUGUAGUAGGGAAUCUUUUCUCUAUUACAUUUGAAAUUUAAAAUUUUUUAUGUUCAUUGGUGUCUUGCCUGUACAUACACCUGCAUGAAGGUGUCAGAUCCAUGGACCUGGAGCUACAGGCAGUUGUGAGCUCCCAUGUGGGUGCUGGGAAUUGAACCCGGGUCCUCUGGAAGAGCAGCGAGUGCUCCCAACCACUGAGACAUCUCUCCAGCCCCUACAUGUAAUUAUCCCACUCUGUGUAUGGUGCACACAUGGAGGUCAGAGCAACAACUGGUGGAGUCGUUCCUGGACCCUGUGCAGGAUGGGAUCGAACUCCGGUCUUCAAGCUUGGCCGCAAGCACCUUUACGAGCCUCACUUUCCACACUUUCUUCACUUUCGAUUCCCCUGUGACUUUUCCUUCAAGGGCUCCCUCAGGAAAGGGUUUCACUGACCAAAUACACUACCA